UAGGCAGGCAUGGUGAUACACACCUAUAGUCCCAGCAACUCAGGAGGCUGAGGUGGGAGGAUUGCUUGACCCUGGGAGGUGGAAGUUGCAGUGAGCCAAGAUUGCACCACUGUACUCCAGCAUGGGCAACAGAGCAAGACCCUGUCUCAAAAAAAAAGGAAAAAGUAAAUUAAUACCUUCCUAAUUUUCAAUCCUUAAAGAGAGUAAAAAAACAAGCCACAAACUAGAUGACAAUUGCAACAUAUAUAAGGACAAGAGAAAAAAUCUUGACCAGAAACUUACGGCCAAUAAAUAUAUGGCUCAUGCCUAUAAUCCCAGCACUUUGGGAGGCCAAGGCAGGUGAAUCAUGAGGUCAGGAGAUUGAGACUAUCCUGGCUAACGUGGUGAAACCCUAUCUCUACUUUAAAAAAAAAAAAGUGCUCAGAAUCAUCAGUAAUCCGGGAAAUACAAAUUUUAAAAAUCGGUUAACAUUUCAUACUAGGCACCAAAAAAAAUUAGCCCAACAAAAAAUAAGGAUGUAGAGUAAAUGGAACAUGCAAAGCUGGUAUGAGUGCAAAUUAAUACAAUAACUUUGAAAAACAAGGUGGCAUUUUCUAGUAGAACUGAAAGCGUGAGUACUCUACACACCAGCAACUCCACACAUAGGUACAAACCUCCAGCAAUUCCACACAUAGGUACAAACCUCUGGCACGAAUCCUGGGAGAUAUCUACAGAAAUGGUCACAGAAGCACUGUUUGUAAUGGGAAAAAUAGAAAUAACCCAAAAUGAUAAUCAGCAACGGCCAGGAUAAAUAAUGUUGUAGUCAUAUGAUGAACUCUUGCAUAGCAGUGAAAUCUAGCAAACUGGAGCAACUUGGAUAAAUCUCAAACAUAAUGUUGAGUGAAAAACAGCCAAUAACAGAACAAUGCACAUGAUAUUAUUCCAUUUACAUAAAACUCACAAUAAUGUAAACCCAUAUAUUGUUUGGAGAUGAAAAUACGUGUAGUAAAAAUUAUUAAGAAAGGAAAUGACAAAUAGUAUUACCAGAUAGCAGUUCCACUGAGAGGGAAGAAAAUGGGAUAGGGAAGACAAGUUAGGGAAUUAGAAGGUAAUGGUAACUUUCACUUGUUAAACUGGGUGGGUUUUGUGUCAUUGUUCUUAUAUCUUAGAUGUAGUCUAUAAACAGUUUUAUAUAUUCCCAAUAUCUAAUUAAAACAUUUAAGAGAAAAAGAUAAGGAAGAAAUGGUUAAAGAAUAUCAUGAGACAGGCACUAACGAGCUGGCCUGGAAUCAGGAGAACUCAGCUCUGCUCACAGUUCCCUCUUAACUUACAGUCUGACCUGAGUAGAGGCAAUGGCUUCCCUGUAGCUCACUCUUUCACUUGUCCAGUGGGGUUAAUAAUAUAUACUAUACAAGCUGAGCACAGCUGGCUCACAUGGCUCACACCUUAAUCCCAGCACUUUGGGAGGCCAAGCGGGAGGAUCACUUGAGGUCAGGAAUUCAAGCCCAGCUUGAGCAAAACAGCAGGACCUCAUCUCUACAAAAAAUAAAUUAGCUAGACAUGUUGGUGCACACCUGUAGUCCUAGCUACUCGGGAGGCUGAGGUGAGAGGAACACUGGAGCCCAGGAAUUGGAGGCUGCAGUGAGCUAUGCACUCUAUCCUGGGCAACAGAGAGAAACAGUCUCUAUUAAAAUAAAAUAAUACAUACUAUACAUAAAUCUUCUGAAGAUGACCAGACGCAAUGGCUAUGACAGGCACCUCAUGAAAACGAAGUUGCUAUACAAGUGUGGUCUUAUACAAAGAUGGUGGCAUUAUUCUUGACAAUUUCCUAUUUGCUUGGCAAAAAACAGAGAGCCACUUCCUGUAACUCAGUCCUAAACCCCCUUACCUGGGGCCCGCCCCAGCUUACAGAGAUGGUCUGUGGUGCUGCUGUUGCAGCUUCACCAGCGUUAGGGUGGUUAGAUUGUAGGAUUAAUGUCAGUAAUGGGCUGACCUCAGCUGAAGGAAGUGGAGAGAUGUAGAGCCACUCCCACUGCUCAACCUUCAGAAAAGUAAAGUGACCUCUCACGAAGCCCUCAGCUCACAUCCUAACUUUUCCCCAUCCUAUAAGCCCACACCAUACUCAACAGUGAGCUAAAAGGAUUCAAUUCCAACUUUAAGUUGGUUGGAGCAAUAAAAUGUCCAGUCUGUGCACCUCUCCACACCCAAUUCCACCAUUUGACUGCUGCACCUACCAUAUUCCAUUGUAAAUACUGCUUCCCUCCCCUCCCCUGCCAAAAAAAAAAAAAAAAAA
Macaca fascicularis (crab-eating macaque) is the source of this 2272-nucleotide long non-coding RNA. The record is from Ensembl. Lineage: Eukaryota; Metazoa; Chordata; Mammalia; Primates; Cercopithecidae.